ACAGAGAGCCGAAUGUGGGACUGGAACUCACGAACCAUGAGAUCAUGACCAAAGCCGAAGCCGGACACUCAACCAACUGAGCCACCUAGGUGCCCCUCCAUCUGCAUUUUUGAACACGUCUUAUGAAUAGUGUAAGACUAUAUUACCAAGGACGCCUGGGUUUCAAGUACAGAAAACUCAAAAUAGCUCAAACCAUAGGGAUAAUAUACUUACCCAAGUAGCCAAAAGGACCCAAAGCAAGGCAUUCAUCCUGUUUAUCCUGGCACUUCUGGAUGCCUUCAACGGCAAGUAAAAGAAAACCCCAACUCAGACUGUCAUAAACACUGGAAAGAAUAAAUCUACAGGUCAUUUGCUUAGAGCAGGAUCUUCUCGACGUCAGGUGUCCGCAUGCCGCCACUGGCUUGGGUUCCGCAGAGUGGCCACCUUCUGCCCGCCUGAGACACCAGCUGCCUGCGCCAGGACCCUACUCACGCACCUAUUUCAAUCAACACCCCUUAAGCCUUUCAAGCACGACUGCGAGUGGACAGCCAGUAUCACUUGCCAUGAAUGGAAGUUUGCCGUAAGUAAAAUGCAGCAAAAACUUUGCAUUGUCCCCCCGCCCCAGGGCAGAGCCGGAGUCCUGCUCUGCCUGAAGGGGGAGAUGGGGAAAUGCAAGAUGUUGAAGCUGCUUCCUCACUCAGGUGACCUGAAGGAUGCACAGACUCAAAAAGGAAAGCCCGGCCUCUCUAGUGGAUCGAGUUCCAGCCCCACCCCCUCCCCACCGCCACCGAUCCACAGUGGACACGUAGCACGGGUGAGUGAGACCUGUUCAGCCACAGCAUUAAUCUGGUUCGUCCUGACACAAUUAUCCCGGCGAUGGUUAUCCGCUGACAGGAUGCCAGGCCUUAGUCACAUCCGCAUUCCCCACCUCAUUCAGUUGGACCCCACUGCCCAUUUUUUGCCAUAAACGCGUGCCAUGCAUUUCCCUUUAAACCAGCUCACUUUUUUACUUAAGUAACUUUAUUUUUUUAGUAACCCCUACACCUAACAUGGGGCUCAAACUCACAAACCCGAGAUCGAGUCGUAUGCUCUUCCGACUGAGCCAGGCAGGCGCCCCAAAUCAAUUUAUUUCUCAAGAGGGCUUUCUACUACUGCCCUUGAGUGGGAAACUAGCAUCUCUUGUCAUUAAAGAAAGGGCGGGGUGGGGAACUAAAAUAAACACCAAGAGAGGAAAGUAAGAUUAAUUUCUAGCUCCAACGAUCGCCUGAGUUUGAGGACUGCUGUGUUUUUGUAACUAGAGAGGAGAGAACGACAGGCUGUCCGUGCUUCCUCGUCAGUCAGGAUCGUGCUAGAAUGAAGUGUUGUCUGAUGAGGUGUCUGAGGACCGGCUGAAACCGUAUGGUUCCCCAGUGGCCCCUGCCCCACCGACACUUUGGGAAAAUGGACGUGACCAUCCCUCCUCAUGGGGCAGCUUUUACUAGGAUAAGCCCUCCUCCCCAACACGGGCACUUGCCCCGAAUGGGAGCCUCUGCACGCCCAGCAUCUGGCCAGGUCCGCGGCACCAGGCUGAAAAAAGCAACCAACGCAUACAGACUCAAAACUUUAAUCGGCGAACAAACACAUACACAUAAAAGCCAUCUCUACGCUGGCCCACAGCUACACAGGUCAGUAGUUACAGAGUCCGCCCGCCACGUUGCCAAUUUUCCGCAGGACCCCUGACCUCCAUCUUUGGUGUCAAAACUCUCGUUGAACACGUUUCCCGCCUCUGGCCUGCCCUGUGGUAUAGAACGGGUCUCGCCCAGACUACACAGCGAUCUGAGGGCAGGGACCAGGUGCAGGGAGUUCAGUGUUUCGGCCCUUUGAAAACCCAUAUGCUCCCUGCUGUGGUGUGGGCCCAGUGGCGAGCCUGUAGGUUCCCACUUUCAACAACAAAACCAACCGGCAGAACUCAAAG
Molecule: long non-coding RNA, 1933 nt
Organism: Prionailurus viverrinus (fishing cat)
Lineage: Eukaryota; Metazoa; Chordata; Mammalia; Carnivora; Felidae
Exons: 3
Source: RefSeq, a predicted model, not a curated record